GGGGCUGACCGGUUUUGACAGCGUGUAGAGGUGGUGUGUAAGCGUGCAGAGCCAUGAUGAAAGCCUCUUUAAUCCCGCAUCAAAAAAUUUAAUUGGCGAAAAUAAUCUCGCUCUCGCUGCCUGAUUGAAGCACAGUAGAUCGGCUUAAUCCCCGCGACAGUCGCAGGGACGAGACAUCGCCCGAUUGUCCAAUUCCCGUGACGAAUCGAACAGGCGGUGUAAGUAAUUCGGGAAUAGGAAGCCGCGUGCCUCGACACGGCCUCCGAAAACUCAGAGGAUAAGGGCGCGGUUGGUCGUCUUCGGCCUGCCACGCCACGAAAACCAAGCGAAGAAUACGCACGUAGAAAGCACAUUAGUUCCGCGUUUGGACGAGGGUUCAACCCCCUCCAGCUCCACU
Molecule: transfer-messenger RNA, 397 nt
Filed under: human gut metagenome
Rfam family: transfer-messenger RNA
About the family: Bacterial tmRNA, also known as 10Sa RNA or SsrA, is named for its dual tRNA and mRNA-like properties. Its role is to liberate the mRNA from a stalled ribosome.
Source: RNAcentral